GAGAAAACUCACAAGGACUGCUAAUCCACACCUCCAUGUUUAAAACCAUGGCUUUCUCA
RNAcentral lists this transfer RNA (59 nucleotides) under Allenopithecus nigroviridis (Allen's swamp monkey). RNAcentral's name for it is "tRNA-Ser". Lineage: Eukaryota; Metazoa; Chordata; Mammalia; Primates; Cercopithecidae. The record is from RNAcentral.